Molecule: ribosomal RNA, 178 nt
Filed under: uncultured Lysinibacillus sp.
Lineage: Bacteria; Bacillati; Bacillota; Bacilli; Caryophanales; Bacillaceae
Description: partial 16S ribosomal RNA
Rfam family: Bacterial small subunit ribosomal RNA
Source: RNAcentral
CUACGGGAGGCAGCAGUAGGGAAUCUUCCACAAUGGGCGAAAGCCUGAUGGAGCAACGCCGCGUGAGUGAAGAAGGUUUUCGGAUCGUAAAACUCUGUNGAAGGGAAGAACAAGUACAGUAGAACUGGCUGUACCUUGACGGUACCUUAUUAGAAAGCCACGGCUAACUACGUGCCAG